ACAGAUGUUCUGGGAUCUCAUCACCAGAUUUCCGUUUCUUGGAGAACACAGCUCCUCUGGAGACCCUACUUGAGUGUCUGAGGAACAAAAU
Clupea harengus (Atlantic herring) is the source of this 91-nucleotide long non-coding RNA. RefSeq lists it as uncharacterized. The record is from RefSeq and is a predicted model, not a curated record. NCBI's taxonomy places the organism in Eukaryota, Metazoa, Chordata, Actinopteri, Clupeiformes, Clupeidae. The transcript is spliced from 2 exons.